GACGAACGCUGGCGGCGUGCUUAACACAUGCAAGUCGAACGGAAAGGCCCUGCUUUUGUGGGGUGCUCGAGUGGCGAACGGGUGAGUAACACGUGAGUAACCUGCCCUUGACUUUGGGAUAACUUCAGGAAACUGGGGCUAAUACCGGAUAGGAGCUCCUGCUGCAUGGUGGGGGUUGGAAAGUUUCGGCGGUUGGGGAUGGACUCGCGGCUUAUCAGCUUGUUGGUGGGGUAGUGGCUUACCAAGGCUUUGACGGGUAGCCGGCCUGAGAGGGUGACCGGCCACAUGGGGACUGGGAUACGGCCCAGACCCCUACGGGAGGAAGGAGGGGGAAAUAUUGCACAAGGGGCGGAAGCCUGAUGCAGCAACGCCGGGGGGGGGAUGACGGCCUUCGGGUUGUAAACCGUUUUCGCCUGUGACGAAGCGUGAGUGGGGGUAAGGGGUAAAAAAGCCCCGGCUAACUACG
This 466-nucleotide ribosomal RNA is filed under the name uncultured bacterium. Its description in RNAcentral is "partial 16S ribosomal RNA". It matches the Rfam family "Bacterial small subunit ribosomal RNA", at positions 28 to 505 of the family's 1533-position model. The record is from RNAcentral.